AGUAACGCGUGAGCAACCUGCCUUCAGNGGGGGACAACGGCUGGAAACGGCCGCUAAUACCGCAUGACAUAUCCGGAUGGCAUCGUCUGGAUAUCAAAGGAGAAAUCCGCUGAAGGGUGGGCUCACGUCCGAUUAGCUAGUUGGUAGGGUAACAGCCUACCAAGGCGACGAUCGGUAGCCGAACUGAGAGGUUGAUCGGCCGCAUUGGGACUGAGACACGGCCCAGACUCCUACGGGAGGCAGCAUG
Molecule: ribosomal RNA, 247 nt
Filed under: uncultured bacterium
Lineage: Bacteria
Description: partial 16S ribosomal RNA
Rfam family: Bacterial small subunit ribosomal RNA
Source: RNAcentral